UACAGUAUUCAAGUCUGAUUUAUGACAGCUUGAGAAGUGUGCCAUGGCCUUGUUUUAUACGCGUUGCCUUCAGGACUUACCAAGGAUCACAGUUAAUGAUGUCCAUAGAAUAGUUAAACUGUGCAGCAAAGCUCCAUCAAACAAACUGGAAAAGGGUUUUAAAAUGUACGUUUCCAGCUACCUCUGCAACUACCAGGAUUGUGCUAAAGGAUUCAGACCCAGUAAUAUUGAUACGUCGCCACUGUUCAUGUGCAGCUGGAAUGGCCUUGUGCAACCACACCGUUGCACUUCUGUUCUAGACAGCUCACUAUUCGCAGUUGGGAACAGCUGUUGUUCCUCCAGUUCACAGCUGUACUGAAACAGAACAAAGGUGGCACAAACCAAGAACCAUGGGUGUGCAACCUGGACCCAUUCAGAAAAUGGAAAUUACAAAGCCUCCCUGUGACGAAGUGCCCGCCCCUGUGUGUAUUUUCUGUUAUAUGUUGCAUGUGGUGUGUUAAAUGUUGGUGUAUAGUCAUUGGUACACGGGAUAUAAACGGGUCUGUGUAACACAAGUGUUUAAAAUGUAUAUUUGUAUUUAGGCACGAGGAUGGCACAGCACUUCACGUGCAAGUAAAAUGUAAUAUGUGAGCACGGGGAAUUGCACUUUAUUGAUUCACGUGCAGUUGUACCGCGACUCCAAUUGAAUGAUUGAUUAGCAGUCGAGUCUCGGUACAACUGCAUAAAUAGAUGCACGUUUCAUUCAGUCGGGGUUGGGUGUUCGAGAGUGGAGAACGGGAGAGAGAGGAAGGAAAAUAACAAUUGCUACAGCGUGCUGGAAGUGCCAGCAUGGUACUUGUUAAACGUUCGUCCGCUUGUUUUGUGUGUUAGUUCGUUUUGUUUACCUGUUUAUUUUGGCUCCAGUGCCGUGUCCUGUUUUGUGUUUAAAACCCUUUUAUUUUCUGUUUGUUCUGUUUAUUAAAUGCUGAGCGAAAGCAUUCGCUCAGCUCCACCAAACUCCACCUCUCUCGUUUUGUUUAUUUAUUUCCUGGCUCUGGUCUGACGCCACCCACUCCAGCCGUCUUUGUGACACUCCCUCUAACAGCUCUGCUGAAGGAGAAGUUAGGAGUUCACUGUACAAAGGACUUAUCGGAGAGUUACCAGACCUUUCUGUGCUGCAGGUAUCUGAAGCAUACCAGGACUUUGACAUUUUAUCCAAGCCACUAGUAACAACCAUGGGCAUAUCAGCUGACAAGCCUUUGAUGGAUUCCAUUUUUGGGAAAGUACAGGCAGGAAGUAUUGUGUCUUAUCAACAGCCUCUACCAUGAACUAUGCAUCAGCUGCAGAGUCACUUACAAUUACGUCUCACCCGAAAGACGGAGCACAAGGAGGUUAAGUGACUUGUUCAGGGUCACACAAUGAGUCAGUGGCUGAGGUGGGAUUUGAACCGGGGACCUCCUGGUUACAAGCCCUUUUCUUUAACCACUGGACCACACAGCCUCCUAGAUGAGGAGGGGUUUGGAAAUGGAGUCUGGAGCAGUUAGGGAAUACUGCAUGUUGAAAAAUGUGAAUUAUUCACCCUGUGGGCUUGUAAUUCACCCAGAUGCAGCUUGGCUUGGUUCUUCCCCAGAUGGCAUAAUUUCUGAUCCAACGGAGCAUCCACCUUUUGGCUUGGUGGAAAUUAAAUGUCCAAAUGUAAAAAACUAUGUUGACUGCAAAUACCUACAAAUGCAACAAGGUAUUUUAGCAUUGAAAAGUCAGCAUGCCUACUAUUGGCAAGUGCCAGGUCAGUUACUGAUUACAGGACUUGAAUGGUGUGACUUUGUUGUAUGUGCCCAGGAAUACAUGUUGGUGCAGCGUAUUUAUCGUGACCCUAACAUUACACCAAUCAUCAGAAAUAAGGCUGACCAAUUUUACUUUUUUGUGUACAUGCCAAAGUACUUGUCCAUUAAAAAAUGAAGUGUUGUGGUAAAGAAAAGUAGAAUUACUAAAAAUGUUUUCUUACUUAUCUAAAUUACAAUAAAAUCUACAGAAUUUGCCUUUUCUCUGCACAAUUUGUAGUCCAGGCCUUCAUUCUGUCAAGACUGAACUCACCUCACCUCUUAUCAGCCCACUUCAGCUCAUGCAGAACUCUGCUGCUCGCCUUGUUUACUGUUUUACCUGUUCAGACUGCACCUGUAGACACUGCAGAUCUUCAUUGCCUGUAUUGUACGCUUGUGCUUUG
Molecule: long non-coding RNA, 2203 nt
Organism: Acipenser ruthenus (sterlet)
Lineage: Eukaryota; Metazoa; Chordata; Actinopteri; Acipenseriformes; Acipenseridae
Exons: 4
Source: RefSeq, a predicted model, not a curated record